CUGUAGAUCAUACUGGAAUAAAGUCUAAUGAACUGUUCCAGUUGAAGCAAGGAUUGCUUGUAGAUUUUUCUGAUGCUAAACUUAAUGAAGUAUUGAAAUCAAACAAUUUGGAUAGUGUCUCAACUCAAUUGCUUUUUAAUAUAGGAAAUAGGAUCCUAAGUGAUAUCUUUGAAAGGAAAAAUGGAGAUGUACCUCAGGCUCAUCGUGUU
Molecule: long non-coding RNA, 209 nt
Organism: Glycine soja
Lineage: Eukaryota; Viridiplantae; Streptophyta; Magnoliopsida; Fabales; Fabaceae
Exons: 3
Source: RefSeq, a predicted model, not a curated record